AAGACAACCGCCACGUCCACGGGGCGCGCCAGCAAGGUCGCUCGGAUAAACUCCAGCCCUGAACAGAAAGCGAAAAGACCAACAAAGGUUUUCUUCCUUGUAUUUCACUCCAUCCAUCAUCCAUUCAACUCCGACCAACUUCUCGUCAGACCGGAGAGAAAUCACAUGUGGUGUAUCCCAAGGUUCAGUACUAGGGCCCCUCCUAUUUUAUAUCUAAAUACUCUUGCUAGCUCCGUUUUGAACAAGUAAUAAGAAACCAUAACUAUAAUGCAGAUGGUACAUGUCUCUACAUUAUGUUGUCACCAGGUGAACCCUUUCAAAUACUGAACAGAAGAAAUCAAACAGAAGGGGAAAAAGGAAAAAGGUGAAAGAGAAAAAAAAGAAAUGCAUGUUUUACCAUGGGAAUGGUGUGCUAGAGGUUUGGUGCUGAGUUAAUUUUCCCUUUGAACAUGGUGUGUUACCAAAACCAGAUCACUUCUGGUCUCAUCUAAUCCGCGCUCUUUCUUCCUCCAAUAUUUUCUAAUAAAACUACCCAACUGUAUUUAGGAGGUUAAAAUAAAGGGGCUGAAUACAAAAUGUAUGCCACACUUUUCAGAUUUUUGAAAGUUGCAACAAACUUUAGAAAAUAUCCACCAUUUAAAACGCAUUGAGGUUGUCUGGUUGUAACUCGAAAUAACUUUGAAA
Poecilia latipinna (sailfin molly) is the source of this 684-nucleotide long non-coding RNA. RefSeq lists it as uncharacterized. The record is from RefSeq and is a predicted model, not a curated record. The transcript is spliced from 2 exons. NCBI's taxonomy places the organism in Eukaryota, Metazoa, Chordata, Actinopteri, Cyprinodontiformes, Poeciliidae.